GACGAACGUUGGCGGCGUGCUUAACACAUGCAAGUCGAACGGUAAGGCUCCAGCUUGCUGGGGUACACGAGUGGCGAACGGGUGAGUAACACGUGGGUGACCUGCCCUGCACUUCGGGAUAAGCCUGGGAAACUGGGUCUAAUACCGGAUAGGACCGCACCGUGAGGGUGUGGUGGAAAGUUUUUUCGGUGUGGGAUGGGCCCGCGGCCUAUCAGCUUGUUGGUGGGGUAAUGGCCUACCAAGGCGGCGACGGGUAGCCGGCCUGAGAGGGUGGACGGCCACAUUGGGACUGAGACAAGGCCCAGACUCCUACGGGAGGCAGCAGUGGGGAAUAUUGCACAAUGGGCGGAAGCCUGAUGCAGCGACGCCGCGUGGGGGAUGACGGCCUUCGGGUUGUAAACUCCUUUCACCAUCGACGAAGGGUUUCUGACGGUAGAUGGAGAGGAAGCACCGGCUAACUACGUGCCAGCAGCCGCGGUAAUACGUAGGGUGCGAGCGUUGUCCGGAAUUACUGGGCGUAAAGAGCUCGUAGGUGGUUUGUCGCGUCGUCUGUGAAAUUCCGGGGCUUAACUCCGGGCGUGCAGGCGAUACGGGCAUAACUUGAGUACUGUAGGGGAGACUGGAAUUCCUGGUGUAGCGGUGAAAUGCGCAGAUAUCAGGAGGAACACCGGUGGCGAAGGCGGGUCUCUGGGCAGUAACUGACGCUGAGGAGCGAAAGCAUGGGGAGCGAACAGGAUUGGAUACCCUGGUAGUCCAUGCCGUAAACGGUGGGCGCUAGGUGUGGGUUUCCUUCCACGGGAUCCGUGCCGUAGCUAACGCAUUAAGCGCCCCGCCUGGGGAGUACGGCCGCAAGGCUAAAACUCAAAGGAAUUGACGGGGGCCCGCACAAGCGGCGGAGCAUGUGGAUUAAUUCGAUGCAACGCGAAGAACCUUACCUGGGCUUGACAUAUACAGGAUCGCGCCAGAGAUGGUGUUUCCCUUGUGGCUUGUAUACAGGUGGUGCAUGGUUGUCGUCAGCUCGUGUCGUGAGAUGUUGGGUUAAGUCCCGCAACGAGCGCAACCCUUGUCUUAUGUUGCCAGCACGUUGUGGUGGGGACUCGUAAGAAACUGCCGGGGUUAACUCGGAGGAAGGUGGGGAUGACGUCAAAUCAUCAUGCCCCUUAUGUCCAGGGCUUCACACAUGCUACAAUGGUCGGUACAGUGGGUUGCCAGUCCGUGAGGGCGAGCUAAUCCCGCAAAGCCGGUCUCAGUUCGGAUCGGGGUCUGCAACUCGACCCCGUGAAGUCGGAGUCGCUAGUAAUCGCAGAUCAGCAACGCUGCGGUGAAUACGUUCCCGGGCCU
RNAcentral lists this ribosomal RNA (1341 nucleotides) under uncultured bacterium. RNAcentral's name for it is "partial 16S ribosomal RNA". It matches the Rfam family "Bacterial small subunit ribosomal RNA", at positions 28 to 1381 of the family's 1533-position model. The record is from RNAcentral.